AUUUCUCUUUUGACCAGUCAGGCCUGAUGAAGAUUUUCUACCGAAACGUUUCCAACUGACUUGUCGCAUCAUCAUCAUCAUCAUGAGGUGAAUGGCGCUGCAGCUCCUGCCAGCAGUACCGGACAACACCACUGGGGAGCGCUAAAGCACCGGUCCAGACGCUCCCAGCUGCUCCGCAAUGAAUGGCUGCUCUCUCGCUUCCCUCCGACGCCUCCAGAUCAUCCUCGCACAUGCAGCUGUAGAGCCAACUGCGUCAAGAGCAUGGAUGGAGUAUUUGAAAGACAAUUUGAAAAAGAAAAAAGACUGACAGUACAGAGUAUGCAUGAGGGUGGUCCAGGUGCUCUGCAGAUCGGGACGAUGACAAUUUGAGGAGCAGGAACUUUGAUGCCUGCUGUCUCCUCACUUAAUGUUGGAGACACUUCUGUGGACCAGGGAAACACAAACCAUGUGGGUUUCAAGGUAGAUUAUGUUAUGUGGAGUUCCAAUUGAAGCGGGGGCAUGCAAAGUGCUUUUGCUUGAAAGAAGAUGUCUGGGCUUUGUGGUGAAAAAUGGAUAAUAAAUGACAACUGGGAUUAACUGAAAGCACAACCAAAAGCAAGGCUUCAAACAGACCACCUGCUGGUUUCCUAUGCCCUCUGCCUAUUCCUGCCCGUCAAUGGUCUCACAUCGCUCGGGAUUUCGUUACGAGAUUCCCGGCAUCCAAAGGUAACACCACUGUUCUAACUAUUGUCGACCGCUUUUCCAAGGCAGCACAGUUCAUCCCGCUCGCCAAGCUUCCAUCCUCCUCCGAGACGGCGGAUCUCCUCACACUGUACGUCAUCAAAUAGCACGGUUUUCCCAGGGAAAUCGUAUCUGACUGUGGCCCCCAGUUCAACUCCCGUGUAUGGCGGGCCUUCUGCAAAGGGCUCGGGGCCUCGGUCAGUCUCACCUCAGGAUACCAUCCGCAAAGCAACGAGCAAGCAGAAAGAACCAACCAGAGCUUGGAGACCAUGCUGCGUUGCGUGGGUAACAGCCAGCCCACUUCUUGGAGCAAGUUUCUCCCCUGGCAGGAGAGAGAGGCCACAGUUCCCUCUACGAAGGCCCACAUCAAGCGGUGUCAGAGGGUGUGGAGAGCCGCCCAUGCGGCACUUGAAAAGGCUAAUGAGAGGAUGCCCUGCAGUGCCAACUGGCGUCACAUCCCAGCUCCAUCCUACCAGCCCGGACAACUGGUUAUGUUGCGUGCCAAGGACCUCAGCUUCCAGGCACCUUAAAAAAAAUUGACUCCGCGUUUUGUUGGACCAUACCCACUUGUAACCAUUGUCAACUCUGCUUCUGUAAAGUUUGCUCUCCCACCCUAACCCUAACCCUAACCCUGUGGUAUAUGUUUCUCAAAUAAAGCCGGUGGCGGACAGCUCUCUGUCUCCCUCUAUCACUGCCUCCCCGCCUCCUUCCUAGGAUCGUGGAGAAUGGUGACCCGGUGUGGACGGUCAAAGCGAUCCUCAGGGU
Entelurus aequoreus (snake pipefish) is the source of this 1485-nucleotide long non-coding RNA. RefSeq lists it as uncharacterized. The record is from RefSeq and is a predicted model, not a curated record. The transcript is spliced from 4 exons. Lineage: Eukaryota; Metazoa; Chordata; Actinopteri; Syngnathiformes; Syngnathidae.